GUGUCUCCCCGGCUCGCGGGGGAGCGACGGCCGGACUGUAGCCGCCCCUAACCCCGCAACGACAACAACAAUACCUCGGGGGAACACCCCCUGUCAUUGUCGCCUCCAUAUGGACUAUAUCUCCCAUUGGAGGGUGAUGUCAAGUCAUCAUAGAUACGAACACAAUCACCGCAGAGACAGUAACACACUCCCAGUCCUAAUACUCAAGUGUCAUCAAGCUGAAGUUCAUGGCUAAAUAUCAAGUCUAAAUUGUGUCAAUGUCAUGUUAAAUUAUAUUACACUUGAAAUAAAUAUAAUGUCAACAUUAACAUCCACAAGCUCAUCUUAACAUAACUAGUUCUUUUUUGCAUAUGGUUUCGGUGUGUUUAAGUUUACUUCAUUUCACCAGUCAUGCACAAUUAUUACUCAUUGUAGUAAAAUUUGACUUUUUUUUUUUUUUUUUUUUUGAGAUAUAUACAAGAGUUGUUACAUUCUUGUACAGCCACUAGUACGCGUAGCGUUUCGGGCAAGUCCUU
Molecule: long non-coding RNA, 515 nt
Organism: Procambarus clarkii (red swamp crayfish)
Lineage: Eukaryota; Metazoa; Arthropoda; Malacostraca; Decapoda; Cambaridae
Source: RefSeq, a predicted model, not a curated record